ACCAUCUUCUUUAGUUUCGUUGACUUUGUCUUAGGUUGUUCCCAAUUAUUGUCCACUGCUGAUAACUUGUAUGAUCUCAGGAAAAUCUGCCUUUUCUUGGCCCGGUCUCGCCUGUAAGUUAAGGAAGCCACCAUACUUCCAGCUCCUCUCUUGGAAAACGUCCUAAAUUGACCAAUAUUUUCUUCCCUUGUUUCGUUGUUUUGAUCCAAGAUCUCGUAGCCAUCAACUCUAUGACUAAAAUUAGAUGUGGCAUUUCGGACAAGAGUGUUCAUGGCUACCAAACUAGCAACUCUGCAACUGCGAGAUAGUGUAUGGAAGAUGAUCAAUCUUGGUGGUAUCGUCAUAUAUAGGAAAGGGUCGUUUUCAAUACG
Molecule: long non-coding RNA, 371 nt
Filed under: Durio zibethinus
Lineage: Eukaryota; Viridiplantae; Streptophyta; Magnoliopsida; Malvales; Malvaceae
Description: long non-coding RNA (DZIB_LNC000755)
Source: RNAcentral